GAUGAACGCUGGCGGCGUGCCUAAUACAUGCAAGUCGAGCGAACGGACGAGAAGCUUGCUUCUCUGAUGUUAGCGGCGGACGGGUGAGUAACACGUGGAUAACCUACCUAUAAGACUGGGAUAACUUCGGGAAACCGGAGCUAAUACCGGAUAAUAUUUUGAACCGCAUGGUUCAAAAGUGAAAGACGGUCUUGCUGUCACUUAUAGAUGGAUCCGCGCUGCAUUAGCUAGUUGGUAAGGUAACGGCUUACCAAGGCAACGAUGCAUAGCCGACCUGAGAGGGGGAUCCGGCACACUGGAACUUAGACACGGUCCAGACUCCUACGGGGAGCAGCAGGUGGGAAUAUUUCCCAAUGGGCGAAAGCCCGGACGAGCCAACGCGCGUGUGUGAAGAAGGUCUUCGGAUUGGAAAACACUUUUUGUUGGGAAGAAAGAUAGUUAUAAAAUACCUUGCUCUUUUGACGGUACCCAAAGAAGAAGCCCCGGCUAACUUCGUG
Molecule: ribosomal RNA, 497 nt
Filed under: uncultured bacterium
Lineage: Bacteria
Description: partial 16S ribosomal RNA
Rfam family: Bacterial small subunit ribosomal RNA
Source: RNAcentral